RNAcentral lists this unclassified non-coding RNA (386 nucleotides) under soil metagenome. RNAcentral's name for it is "partial contains 5.8S ribosomal RNA, internal transcribed spacer 2, and large subunit ribosomal RNA". The stretch from base 1 to 120 matches the Rfam family "5.8S ribosomal RNA", at positions 35 to 154 of the family's 154-position model. The record is from RNAcentral.
GAUGAAGAACGUAGCGAAGUGCGAUAAGUAAUGUGAAUUGCAGAAUUCCGUGAAUCAUCGAAUCUUUGAACGCAAAUUGCACUCUCUGGCAACCCGGAGAGUAUGCCUGUUUGAGGGUCAGUGUUAAUAAAAAAUCGGGUGCGUUGCAAUUUUUGUGACGUUUCCGGAGUUUGAGUUAUCUUAACUUCGGUUUUAAGAGGCUUAAAAUUGACCUUUUUUUGUGCAUUUUAGACGUACAUAAAUUUUUUUUUUAUUCGUCCAUCCUAAUGCCAAAAUCUAUUAGAUGCGACCAUAUCUUGUGGUUCCGUGUCUAUAAAUUUUUCAUGAUUUGACCUCAAAUCAGGUAGGAACACCCGCUGAACUUAAGCAUAUCAAUAAGCGGAGGA